ACCCGCUGGACUUAAGCAUAUCACUAAGCGGAGGAAAAGAAACUAACUAGGAUUCCCCCAGUAACUGCGAGUGAAGAGGGAAGAGCUCAUCAUUGGAAUCUGGCAGCGUUGCGCUGUCCGAGUUGUAGAUGAGAAGAGUGGGACAUCUGGACUGCAUGGUGUCCAAGUACAAUAGGCCGUCAGUGGGACAUCAUAGAGGGUGACAAUCCCGUCCUUGACACCAAUGUACGAGUCCUUUACGAUGCCUAUCUCGGAGAGUCGAGCAGUUUGGGAUUUGCUGCUUAAACACGGGAGGUAGAUUCCUUCCAAAGCUAAAUACAGGCAAGAGACCGAUAGUGAACAAGUACCGCAAGGGAAAGAUGAAAUAGAACUCUGUGAAGGGAGUCAAAAAGACGUGAAAUUGUUGCGAGAGAAGCGAUUCAAGUCAGCGUAGCUGGGCCCAUCAAGCCUCGCGCUUUGGACCAGCUUUGCCAGCGGUCUUGUCCCUAGAGACUUGACUAAGGUGCCCUGCCCGGUCUAACGGACAGGCCUCCCCUCUGGGGAGGCCAGUGGCAUGGCUGGUGGAAUGGCUUGCAAUCGACCCGUCUUGAAACACGGACCAAGGAGUCUAACAUGUACGCGAGUAUAAGGGUGGCAAACCCGUAUGCGCAAAGAAAGUGAUAGCCUUUAUGGCUGAGAAUGACCUGACGACCAGACAAGAAAUAUCAUGUCCCUCGUACGGUCAUUGCCCAAGUCCUAUGGUCAGAUCCCAUGGACAUGGAGUUGGAGCGUGCAUGCUAGGACCCGAAAGAUGGUGAACUAUGCCUGGACAAAGCGAAGCCAAAGGAAACUCUGGUGGAGGCUUGUAGCGAUUCUGACGUGCAAAUCGAUCGUCUGAUCUGGGUAUAGGGGCGAAAGACUAAUCGAACCAU
This 911-nucleotide ribosomal RNA is filed under the name Cantharellus zangii. Its description in RNAcentral is "partial large subunit ribosomal RNA". It matches the Rfam family "Eukaryotic large subunit ribosomal RNA", at positions 23 to 943 of the family's 3401-position model. The record is from RNAcentral. Lineage: Eukaryota; Fungi; Basidiomycota; Agaricomycetes; Cantharellales; Hydnaceae.